AAAAUUACCUCGUUAGUGAAGCGCGUUAAAAUGCAUCGACACAAUGAAUUUAAUAUGACAUUUAAAAAACAAGAACUUGAUGGAGUUUGGCUACAUCGAGGCUCAAUGCAGGAACAAAAUGACAUCCAGAGCAGCAGGUAAAGCAGGUAAAGCAGCUCAACUACCAACACUCACCUGGAUCAGCAUCACUGUGAGAAAGUUAAACAAAUAACCAGAAAAAUAAUUCAAGUCUUUGUGCUGGAGGUGAAAGACUUUGGUUCUGCUCUCGCUGUUGAACCGCCGCUAUUCACUACUAGUAGUAAUAUUUCACAGACGUAGCGCCGCUCAACCUCCACCUGCAGUGAAUCUCACACUGCUUAAAGCUGCAGCAGGAAACGGAAACAACAAUGACAACAACAAAAAUAAUUCACAUAUUAAAGCUUUCCCUAUGCCCAAACGAGAGAUAAUUUAUGAAAAAACAAAUAAAUAAUAAUUGAUCUCCUCUCCCUCCUCCUGUGUUCUGCAGAAUUAAUCCGCUCAGUCAGAACCAGCAUUAAUCAGCUAGCUGCUCUCAGGAAGUUUGGAUUUAGUAACUUAGGAUUGUUUAUUUUGAUGCAACCUGCAUUUGACUUUGAAUGAAUGUUUCCCUCUUUUACUAGACAUUAUUUUAUAUAAUAAGUGUUAUUAGAUUUAUUUACUGUUAAAUGUUGUUUAACUGGUUGCAGGUUUUUCACUUGUUCUUUUGACUGAGUAGCUGCUGUAUUGUGCCUGCAAGUAUGUUGCAUGUUUAUGUUAAUUAGGUUAAUUUAUAACCAGAUAAUUUUUUAAUUUUGCCAGAUCACAUAGUAUCAUUUAUAACUAUAAAAUAAACAACCAAUUCAGGUGAUUGGCAGAGAUCGACCUCAUGGCUGAUCGGUAUCAGAAUUGGCAGCAAUAAACCUGAUCGGAGCAUCUGUAGAAUUAAUACAUUUUAUUUUGGUUAUGUUGCUGAAAAUGUUGGUUAUAUACUCAGCAACAAUUGUUGCCAAUGGAAAACUGCAUAGUCUGAAUUACACAAAUAUAUCCUAUUUAUACAUAUAAAAAAUAAGAAAAAUUAUGACAUGCAAAACCCAUUAUAACAAAGAAUGGUUACAAGAGUGUUCAGAAAUAUUCUAGAUACAUAAAGAUUCAAUUCCACAUCCUGCAGAUGUCAUUGUCUCAAUUUGCAGAGUGACCUUUGACCUCAUUUGGUCAUUUCAUCAAUGGGGCAAGGUCAGGUGAAAAUGUUAGAAUGAAUAAAUGUGAAUCUUGGAGAACAUUUUCCCUGUUCCACCAGACCAAGAACUACACCUUUGUUCUGUCCUAAACUAGUUUCAGGCGUGGCAUCAUCUUGUAGCUUCAUUCAGUGCAAAGACCCACUUUGUGGAAAGGAUCAGGUUUUGGGAGGUGAUUUGGGGAGGGGUUCAACUGUGGGAAUGACAAUGAUGUAGAAAACAUCAUUUUGAGGUUCCUUCAGGUCUAGAAGAGCUAAAAUAUCUGAUGGUUUUAAGCUGUGAGGAAACAAGGCA
Molecule: long non-coding RNA, 1526 nt
Organism: Xiphophorus hellerii (green swordtail)
Lineage: Eukaryota; Metazoa; Chordata; Actinopteri; Cyprinodontiformes; Poeciliidae
Exons: 2
Source: RefSeq, a predicted model, not a curated record